UCCCUGGUGGUCCAGUGACUAAGACUCCAUGCUCCAAAUGCAAGGGGGCCCAGGUUCAAUCCCUGGUCAGGGAA
Molecule: transfer RNA, 74 nt
Filed under: Ovis aries (sheep)
Lineage: Eukaryota; Metazoa; Chordata; Mammalia; Artiodactyla; Bovidae
Rfam family: tRNA
About the family: Transfer RNA (tRNA) molecules are approximately 80 nucleotides in length. Their secondary structure includes four short double-helical elements and three loops (D, anti-codon, and T loops).
Source: Rfam by way of RNAcentral